Long non-coding RNA from Equus asinus (donkey), 599 nucleotides. Lineage: Eukaryota; Metazoa; Chordata; Mammalia; Perissodactyla; Equidae. The record is from Ensembl.
UUCGGCUUCAAACCAGAACGUCAGUGCAGGAAAGUUAAAAUUUGAUAAACGAGAGAGCUGAGGCCAAGGAACGAGAGCUUGUCAUGGACUCUAGACUGGAAACCAGCACCCAGUGGGGACUGGACUGAUGACCAGGCCAACUCCUUCCCUGGCUGCGUUUGGACUUCCAAUUGGAUCUCUCAGGGCAGGGCCUUUGGGAAUUCCCAUGAAGUAUAUUUCCCGGCUCGCAGGAAUGACCGCCCAUCCCCCUCUCCCAAGGAGAGCCCUGCCUGAGGGACACAGGGAAGAAGAGGAGGGCAGGCCGGCAGCUGCCUCCGUGUGUCCUUUACUCUCCUGGGCGAUUGGGCCCUGCCCCAAGUUCCUGAGCCCUCUCCCCAGACGCCCCGCCUGUGCCCACACCAUCCUCCUUGGAAGGCACUUCAGUAAACGGCUCUUGUACUGCGCAUCUUCCUUGGCGAGGGUCUCUCCCCACCCCCAAGCAGCUUGUCCAAGCGGGUCGUCCUGGGGAGCUGUGGAGAACACAGCUUUCUCAGUCCCCUUACAGGACCCGUGAUGUUGUAGCCCCCCGCGUUUGAGCCUCCUCCUGGGUUAGUGCCUGG